RNAcentral lists this ribosomal RNA (377 nucleotides) under uncultured bacterium. Its description in RNAcentral is "bacterial SSU rRNA". It matches the Rfam family "Bacterial small subunit ribosomal RNA", at positions 521 to 896 of the family's 1533-position model. The record is from RNAcentral.
UAAUACGUGAGGGGCGAACGUUGUUCGGUGUCACUGGGCUUAAAGGGCGCGUAGGUGGUUGCGUAAGUAACGUGUGAAAUCCCUCGGCUUACCCGGGGAAUUGCACGUUAUACUGCGUGACUUGAGGAUCAGAGGGGAAUGGGGAACUCCAGGUGUAGCGGUGAAAUGCGCAGAUAUCUGGGGGAAGGCCGGCGGCGAAGGCGCCAUUCUGGCUGAUACCUGACACUGAGGCGCGAAAGCGUGGGGAGCAAACAGGAUUAGAUACCCUGGUAGUCCACGCCCUAAACGAUGGAUACUAAUCAGGAGUCCCUGCAAGGGGAUUCUUGACGGAGCAAAAGCGUUAAGUAUCCCGCCUGGGGAGUAUGGUCGCAAGGCUG